This 497-nucleotide ribosomal RNA is filed under the name uncultured bacterium. Its description in RNAcentral is "partial 16S ribosomal RNA". It matches the Rfam family "Bacterial small subunit ribosomal RNA", at positions 28 to 507 of the family's 1533-position model. The record is from RNAcentral.
GAUGAACGCUGGCGGCGUGCCUAAUACAUGCAAGUCGAGCGAACAGACGAGGAGCUUGCUCCUCUGACGUUAGCGGCGGACGGGUGAGUAACACGUGGAUAACCUACCUAUAAGACUGGGAUAACUUCGGGAAACCGGAGCUAAUACCGGAUAAUAUAUUGAACCGCAUGGUUCAAUAGUGAAAGACGGUUUUGCUGUCACUUAUAGAUGGAUCCGCGCCGCAUUAGCUAGUUGGUAAGGUAACGGCUUACCAAGGCAACGAUGCGUAGCCGACCUGAGAGGGUGAUCGGCCACACUGGAACUGAGACACGGUCCAGACUCCUACGGGAGGCAGCAGUAGGGAGUCUUCCGCAAUGGGCGAAAGCCUGACGGAGCAACGCCGCGUGAGUGAUGAAGGUCUUCGGAUCGUAAAACUCUGUUAUUAGGGAAGAGCAAAUGUGUAAGUAACUAUGCACGUCUUGACGGUACCUAAUCAGAAAGCCACGGCUAACUACGUG